Molecule: ribosomal RNA, 468 nt
Filed under: Flavobacterium sp.
Lineage: Bacteria; Pseudomonadati; Bacteroidota; Flavobacteriia; Flavobacteriales; Flavobacteriaceae
Description: bacterial SSU rRNA
Rfam family: Bacterial small subunit ribosomal RNA
Source: RNAcentral
UGUCCGCGUGCAGGAUGACGGUCCUAUGGAUUGUAAACUGCUUUUGUACGAGAAGAAACAACAUUACGUGUAAUGUCUUGACGGUAUCGUAAGAAUAAGGAUCGGCUAACUCCGUGCCAGCAGCCGCGGUAAUACGGAGGAUCCAAGCGUUAUCCGGAAUCAUUGGGUUUAAAGGGUCCGUAGGCGGUUUAGUAAGUCAGUGGUGAAAGCCCAUCGCUCAACGGUGGAACGGCCAUUGAUACUGCUAGACUUGAAUUAUUAGGAAGUAACUAGAAUAUGUAUUGUAGCGGUGAAAUGCUUAGAGAUUACAUGGAAUACCAAUUGCGAAGGCAGGUUACUACUAAUUUAUUGACGCUGAUGGACGAAAGCGUGGGUAGCGAACAGGAUUAGAUACCCUGGUAGUCCACGCCGUAAACGAUGGAUACUAGCUGUUGGGGGCAACUUCAGUGGCUAAGCGAAAGUGAUAAG